CCCGGCAGCGGCCGGUCCGGGCAGGACGGGAAGGGAACGGGGAAAGCCUGUGGAAGUACAGGCACUCCUGACGCAUUUCGCAGCCAGGGCCAUCGGGAACUCCGCGGCUGUCGCCAAGAGCUCGCUCCCAUUAAACCGGUGACCGUGAGCAGCUUAGGAGCCACAGAAGAGAGAAGCCAUGACUGAGCAUAUCUCCCAGGGGACCUUGGACUAAAUGAUAUUUAAAGGUCCCUUCCAACCCACGCUGUUCUACGACUCUGUGAUGAUGAUGUGCAGUUGUAAAAUGUUGAUGGGAAUAAAGAUGAUCAAGCAAAGGUUGGAUGACCUUUACUGCUGCCUCAGCCGAGUGGAGGAGGAAGCAAUACUGAAGUAUCAUGCUUCUGUUCUGCCUUUGAUUCAACCAUUAAUCCUAACUCAGCCUGACCAAAGGAAGCAGCAGGCCAGGAAGCUUAUCAUCUGGGCACAAAUGUCACAGCUACGGAGCUAAAACAGCAGCAGCAAUGUGAGCACUGACAGCCAUUUACCAAACAGAUGACUAACCAUGGGGAAAUGCAAUCUCAUCAGCCAUUGCUACACAGUAAGAAAACACUUCCCCAAAUUUGCUGUGCAGCCUUGAGUGGCUUGUUACACUGGAUGCCAAAUGUUUAGGACACUUUUGUUUGCAAUGAAACCUUUGUCUUUUCAGACCGAUCCUUUAUGAUAAACAAAGCAAUCAGUAAACAAUUGAACAUGCUUACAAAGACUAGUAAUAAAGAUAAGUGAAUUAGAAAGCCUCAGGUAGGCUGGUGAGAGCUGGCUGAUCUGCUGGGUGCAGAGAUUCUGCAAGUCUUGAUUGUAUGCACAGCUCCUCUUGAAUUUGCCCUGCAGCAAAAUCAUGUGGUCUGUGACACAAUCACAACAGAAUCUACAGGAACUAAAAAUAAACUGCUUCUCUGCAAAUGUAUGGCUCAGUUUAGUCCAGCUUAUAAAUAACUGUCCAGCACUGGUCAGCAAACACAGUUCCUUAUGAUUAUCACAUUGUGCACGGCCUCAUUAAUUGUGAUUAGAGCCAGCUCUUUUACAACAUUCAAGCACUUGCAACACGUGGGUUCAGUCCCAGAUGAUUGUUUAGUAAGUUAUCAGUUCUCUGAGCAGCUUAUGUUACCCUCACUUGCAUAUCUGACCCAGCUGCUUUGCCCCUUCCUUGACAGCUUUCAGCAGUCCAGAGCUGCCUCACAAAUCUAUUGUGAGGAGCUGCCACCUCUGUGGCACUAAUUCUGUUACACCUGGGUGGUGGGAGGGCUUGGUACUGGGUCACCCUUCCGGCACCUCUGCAGGAGCAAUCCAAACAUCUGCCCUAAAGCCAGGAAUGGCUCUGACCACCUGUAGGGCAGACACAGCUACCAGCACAAUGAACCUUAAUGUUUAUUUAAUCAGAUGGGAGUGACAGUAGUGACAAUUUGUCCACUAAAUUUCAUUCAUUAAGUCAGAUUUGAAUUACAGACUUUUUUAUUUUAAACAAAAAAUUGAGUCCAAAUUAGAUUUUAAGUCAGAUCAACAGCUGAAGCUGUUUCUUAUUAGAACUGUACUUUCAGUGUAACAGCAAAAACAUCACCUUUGUAACAAUUUUUUAAAACUUUCACAUACUUCUUUUUGGAACUUUUACCAUAAAUUUUAGAAAAACAGGCAGUGGGCUGUCUCCAAAGGAUUUUACAAAAGGGAAAUAAUCUCAUUCAGCAAGCAUAAUAUUUUGACAAAUACUGGGGGGUUUAGAGCCUUCCCCAUAAAAUGAAUCCUUAUUGCAUUUGGAAAGGAUUUUUCACUCACUAAUUUUCUCCUUAUUGUUGGCAUGUAGCAAUUAUGCUGCUGUGACAGAUUUCUCAGAAGUACUUCUGACUGGUUCUCAGAUAAACAUUUUAGGUUAUUGAUUUUAACUUACUUAAAUAGAAAACUGCAGAGGAUUUUACAUUGGAUAGUUUUACAGCUGGUGACAACUGGAACAGAGGAAAUCAAGCAUCCUCAAAAGUAAGGGAUGCAAACUCAAGUAACUUCAAUUGAAAAAUAAGUCCCCAAGAAGAAAGAUUGUUUGCAUUGAGCUACAAAUAUCACAUAGUCUUUAAAUAUUUGUCUCAAGGAUUCAGACAGAGUGUGUCUUGUCCACAAGAUGGCAGGCACUGUAUCCAGGAGGUUCUGACACAGAAAGGUGCUUUGUAACAUCUGUGGAGCAAAAAACCUUCAUGGUAAUUAUCCUUUUUAAUUUCUUUAUCCUUCUAGGCAAGCACAGAAGAAAAUAUGUCUAUAAUUAUUUUCUUGGUUUGCUUAUAUAAUCCAAAAAUCUGCUUGCUUCAGAGAUAAGCAGAUUUCAGUUCAGAUGGAAAACAGAAAAUGCUUGUCAUCCAAGGGAACUAAUUUUUCUCUUUGAGAUUUCAGGUGGCUGGAGCCAAGUUAAGUCAUACACAAGAGGCAAAGGCAUUGCAGGGAGAAAUAUUACAACCUUACCAAACAUCUGGUUUUUACCAACCUACUGCCUAGGAGAAACAGGCAAGAGUGGAAGGGGCUGAGGGUUUAAAGGACUGACCAAACCUGAAAAACUCAGAGUGAAGGCAACAGUGCUUCAUAGGAAGAUAAAAUUAAUGACAGUCCAGAAGAAUUUAUCCUUACGUGCCUGAUAACUGAAAGGCAUCAAAUUCUCAGAGCCCUCACAGGUCUGUUCAGAUUAAAAAUAAAAUCUCUCAUUGUUCAUUUCCCCCCCUUCAGACUGACCUUGUCAUUGCCAACUGGAAUUAGCCUAAACCAAGACAACUGGGCAGGCUUUCCUACCCAUCUGCUUUCAAGCAGUGUGAAGGAAGCUGCCCCUUGGUGGCUUUUCAGAAAACUGAAAGGUGUUUGGUCUGUGUCCUAUAGGCAAACUUCCAAAGGAGUGAAAAAUUCCUGCUACUAUGGGCAUCUGUAUUAGAAGACUCAGAGGCCAACAAGGGGUUUGAGGUGUCACUCAGGAGAUAUUUUCAGCAGUGGGUACAUGAAGUGACUAAAAUCCAUUAUAUUAGAAGUGCAGCAAAUACAACAGGUACAAUAAGUACAACACUGCUCCCACAAAACAAGGUCCCUUUCUAAUGCUGUCAUCAUAUUUCUGUUUGCUCUUGAUCAUUCCACAGGAAAAAGCAGAGAAUCUCCUGUGUCCUGCAGGGCAAGGUUGUUCUGUGUCAGUGCUGCUUCCUCCACCUGCCACAGCUGAAGUUUUGAGCAGAAAUUCUCUGGGUGAUCAGGCUGUUGAGAGUGAAAGAAGAAGGUUUCAAGUCUCAGCUCAGCACAGAGACACUCAGAAGUUACAAGGGACCAGUGAACAGGCAAUGCUCUGAGCUGUGAACUGGCUAGUAGUGAGUGUGAGGUGGAAAUGACACUUAGAAGAAAUUUAUUUUAAGGUUAACAGCUCUACAGAACUUGUGAAAGUGCUCAGAAGCGCAGUAAGAGAAACAGAUAUGCACUAUAGUGAUUUUUUUUGUAAUAUUUAAACUGAAGAGACUGUGGAAACUUGGGGCUAAAUUUCAUUUCACACAAGGUAAAGCAGAGUGAAGACACACAAUUGCAUACAAUAACUCCUCCAACUCCUACUUUGCACUCCUGUGCUUUGUUCCAGCCAGGAAGUGCUCCUGAGCAUGCACCAGGUGUGCUUCAGGCCUGGGGAAAACACCUGAACCCCCUAAGCCCUCGAGAAUAAGAAAGCUGGUGAGGGGACAGCUGAUGGGUCAGACAUUGGUAGUCUGAGCACCCAAGUUUAGUUUCCUGUUUCCUUUACUGAAUUGCUCUGUAACAAAAUAAUUCCAAUUCCACUGCACAGAGCUGCCACUGACAAAAUGAAAUUAAUUGCUGCUACUCAGAGCCCACAAAGGGGACCUCCAGCAAACAACAUGGGAAAGCCACGUCCACAGCUGCAAGAUGAGGGGUAUCAAUAAGAACAGAACACAGAAUUUCUUCUGUUGCAGAUGAUUAUUAUGGGAUUGUGUUCUGAGCAAAUUUAAUGGGCAGUCCAUUAUUUAUUACUGUUUGAUGAUAAAACAGAGGGGAAAAACAAGUAAAUUUAAAGAUCACCCAGGUGCAGAGGUAGAAGUUACACAAAUUGUUCAUUAAAAAUAAUAAAACCCAAACAACUCACCCUGGCCCCAAUCCUCCCAAACACCUAUAUCACACACACACACAUUAAAAAUAUAAUCUGCAGUAAUUAUUCCAGCUCUAAAGUGGGAGCUACAUGUCUGUGUAAUGUCCCUUCUCCAUAUCACUCCCAGAGAGAUUUACACAGUGUGCAAUGGAAAUCCCCAUCAGAAAAAUCUUAUACUCAACACACAAUAUUCUCCAGGGUAUUCCAUCUUAUUUGAAGUUAUACUGCCCCAUGAAGUUACUGGAGACUGUUGGCAGUAGUAUCAGUGUGCUGCCUAUCCUGACAACUUGAAAAAUUAGAUUAAAAGUUAGUCUAGCAAACCAUGCAUUUUAUUUUAUCCUCCAUAAAUCAGUAGGUGUGGACCACUGACUGUAUAUGAUACUACUAGUACAUUUCCUAUUAAUUUAUUUCUGAGUUGGAAUAUGUAUAAUUUGUUCCAAAAUGCCCAAACCAUUCAAUGUUCAGUCAUUGCUGAUUAGUUCAGACACUGGGUUGGGAUACCCAGGGGAAAGACACAAAUGUCAGCUGCAAGAGCAGCCUAGAAGAGAAUGUUAAGUCGGUGUGAAAUCAACAUCUAAUUUCCCCAUGCAGAGGAAUGUGACAUACUUUUUAAUUAAAUGUCAGCCUGUCGAUAUUUUUCAGAUUAGUUAUGAAUGUGAAAUAUACCAAAUAAAAUGGAAUUAAAAUGGGCAAAUUGGUUUAACUUCUGCUGACACAUUUAAUUUUUAUUCUCAGUGCCCUACAAUGAGCAUUCUAAGAAAUUAAAGCAUAUCUUUUUAUUGUAGUAAUGAAUCAAUUUUCAGGUUCUGAAUGUAAGGCAGAGACCAAAAUAUUACAUUUAUUCCAGUUCAAACCCUAUGUAAAGGCUAGAAUUUGUUUAUUUGCAGCUAGGAUUCAACAUCAAACAUUUAAGCUGCAAUGUCACCCUCCUGGAAUUGAGGCUGUGUGUUCAACCAUUAUUAUUCUGGGGACCACUGACCUGAAAAAAAAAAAAACCAAAAACAAAACCUGCUUGUCCUUGCUUCAGUACAAGCACACUGGGUGCUUUUAGCUGUGGUUAUCUGAAGCACUUACAAAAUCUCAAUGAAACUCAAAAAACUCCAACUUUCUUCAGCAAGAGCUGCACUGAAUUCCCAAUUAUACAGGGAAAGCUGGAUGGGUGAUAACAACCCUGCCAGGAUUGUAACUGAGAAUGCUGCAGUUGCAAUUCUGCUCUUUCAGCAGCUGUGCAAAAGCAAACUGGAAAAUAGAAAUGCUUCCCUGGAAACUGCAGGAUAUACUAGUUAAAGCUGCCCUAUUUGAAUUUGCAAAUAGGCCUCCCAGCUAACAAUUAGAAAUCAUCAUACCAUCUUUUAUUGCUUGGAUUAGAUAAAAUUUGUAUCUGAGAAAUACAAUAGUGCAAAAAAAUAGAGCUACAGCUCCUUAUUAGGACAGUCUGUAUCAGAAUUCUACUAAAAGGUCUUGAGCAUCAUCUUUUAGGACUUUCACUCAUUUAUGUGCUACACAGCAUUGGAUGUCCUUUUAAGUGAAAGGGCAGAGUGCUGCUAGGGUCUAAACCCCCAGAACAUUACUAAAGCUCACAAGAGCAGUAUGAGAUCAGCACUAAGAGAAAGGGGGUGAAAGAUCCUGGACAAGGCUUGCUGCUAAAUGUGGGAAGUGCAUGAGGCUCCCAUGGCAGGUCCUACCUGGGACACCUCUGUGUAGCUUCAGACUUCACAAGGAUGUACCAGCACAGUCCAUGGCAGGAUCUUCCUGUGACUUCAGAAUGGUCCACAGGCAAUACCCACACAGUCAGAGAAGCAGACAGGAGCUACUCAAACCCCUGUGCUGGAGCAGCCUUUGCCAAGGCCUACAGAUGGUGAAGGUACACCCUUCACCUGUGCAAACACCCAGGUCAGGAAGGUAUCCAUGCUCUCUCUUCUCACAGUAUGUGUUUGCCUUCUACACAAGGCAAAUGGAGCAGCAGUAAGUCAUUUGCUUAUCCCAGGCAAAGAGAGGCUGUACAAAGGAUGUUAAGGUAUGUGUUAAGACAUUCUGGUUGAGGAUUAUAUUAAUUUAAAUAGCACCCUGCUCCUCUCCUGUCUCUCCAUAUUCCCUCUGAGUUUUCAUGAAACAGGAUUGCUUCUGUCUAAUAAGAAGAAACUCAGAAAUAGCUUUUGAGAUGUUUGCUGUCAUUCUGGUCGUUUCUUGUACACCCUUGUAUGGACUAUGCAUCAUUUGUUAUCUUCCUAGGCAUAUGUCAGAGUGCACUCCUGCUGUAAGAUACUGGUGCUGAAGGUUUAGUUACUGUGUGCCAGACCACGGGGUGAGGAACAGAAGGAGCCAUGUCUGUAAAAAAGCCAAGUGACCUCGUUGCUGCCAGAAAGAACAACAGCUGAAAAAAAAAAAGCUUCUGCUACUUAUUCCACAAUGAAAAGUGAGCUCUGCUCAGCUCCAGAGGCUGGAAUUCUGGCUCUCAUCCUCUCAUUAGACUGGAUCCUGUGUCCAGUUCACAAGCACACAGUGUCCCUGACAGGCAGCUCUACAGGAUCUGUGGAGUUUUGCUACUCUGGCUGCAAGGUCACACAGCCCAGAGCAGCCAGCCCAGUGUGUCCAGUCCUUGUGCAUGCACAGGAAAUACUGUCAACUCUCUGCAAGACUGCCAGCAGGACAGAUGCACCUGCAGCCUGGGUUGCAAAGCUAAGUGAGCAUUUUUAUACCUUCUUCCCCAAAAGAAAAAAACAAAAUCAAACCAAAAAACAACACCACCUUCAAGGAUAUCACAUUAGAUAUAUUUAUUAAGUAAUAUAUUGUAAACAGAUUGCUUGUCUGUGUUGAAGAGAAAUCACUGCUAAUGAUUAUGGACCAGCAGCACAUACGUGGCUGAGGAUUCUCUUAUUUUUUUCUCUGUGAAUUGCCAAACAAUGGCAGUGCUGCAUGCAGGGCACACAGCUCCUUGCCAUGUUUUAGUGUUUUAAAUACAGCUCCACUUUCUAGCAAAGAGUUUUCUUAGAACAUGUGCUUCUGCUUAUGUGGAAAAUGAGAUUCCUUUAUGCAAGAUCCAGGUUUUUCAGGCUCACCAAAAAAAAAAAAAAAAAAAAGCACCAGGAAAGGGAAAAGGCAAAAGUUUAUUUUAUAACAGCAACUUGCAGUUAUUUCUGCAUUUGAAAUGUAACUUCCAAAAGAAAGACAAACAAAAUACUACCUAUAGACAGCAAAGAUUUAUUAGGACAGACAGUGUUUCAUUGGAUUGCUGCAACUAUUUCUUUACUACACACAUUACUCUUAACAUCAAUUUCUCCGUCCUUCCAAGUUGAAUGGGUUCUAUGUUUUUCCACAGCAGCAAGAGCAAUUUACAGCUACUCACAUCAACUACCUUGCUGCAAAACAUUGUUCUCUUUCAUAUAAAAGAUUAAAAAGAAUCACGGAUUAAACUUUUACAAAUAGAUCAAUUCCAGAUGUUUCAAGCUCUUCCCUCUAUGUGAACUUGGUUAUGUUUUCCUUCUUUCUGUCUGCAUCAGGAUGGCAGAACUACCAUCACCCUUUUUCCCUUUAGCUCCUUUAUUAAUCAGACACAAGUGUAUAACAGCUAUUAAUAAUUAGAGUAUAGCAAGAAAAGUGAACCUAAUUCUACCUCAGUGCUUUCACUAUCCAUGAGAUAUUAUUCCUACUCCUGACAAGAUCUUUCAUCAACUCCAGCUUCUCCAGUCAUCCUUCUCUUCCACUUGUGCUUCCAUGCCAUCCCACCUCUGGAACCACAGCAGCUCUUCCCCUGGGCUGGGUCCCACAGGAGGAGCAGCCUCUGGCCCUGCAGCCUUGUUCUGCUUCAUCUCACAGCACCAGUCUUCUGUUCCCAUUACACAGGGCCUGCCUGGAGCUACACAAGGUACUGUUUUUCCUUCAAACCAUUAAAUGCGUGUUCUGAAGGGAAUUUAUGCUUUCAAGGAUCCCUGCUGUCAACAGGAUUUUCACAGGUUGCGAGUUAAGGAACCUAUUUGCAGAAAAUUACUGUGUGGCUCCUGCAGAGUAAUUACUCUGACAGCUCCCCAGUCUUCUCUCAAAGUGACACUAAAUACACCAAAGCUCAAGACCUGCACACAAAGGCAUUCAAGAUUACCAGUAAUACAAAAUGUUAUCCUCCAACGUGGUUGAGGCUUCUGAGUAAUUCAGAAUGCUGCUUGACCACAUCUAAACUCAGUGCUAAUUUAUAGCCUUGCUUUUCUCUUGAUUAACAUAUAACUGAACAUUAAUUCAGUGAUUAACCUCCAACAGAUAAAAAAUAGUUUGAAGGGGAAUGUAACAUAGUCACAAGUGGGUUGUAUUGCGCAGUUGUUUCCCAAGGGCAUUCAAUCUCAGUUUAUGAAUCUUUUAUUUAGAUUCUCCUGAAACCACACACCAAUAUCUUCCUCCUUCUUUCCCUUUAGAAAACUAAAGGGUAGUCUGGACACCACACCCACAGACACAGCAAUUUGGAGAAAUUUCAUUGUUAAAGACAUACUAAAAAUACACAUUUUCAUAAAUUAAACUUUUGUCCAAAAGGAAAAAAAAAAAAAAGCCAAUGUUUUGAACCUUAAAAUUAUUAUGGAAGUACCAUAUAACAGUAGUAGAAGAAAGAGAAACCACCAGUUAAAAUGAAGAUGAAAAAAAAUGUUCAUAAAAAAAAGCAAGUUUUACUCAAAGAGAUACAAGGAAGGGUUAAGAACAUAGGGGUGAAAAAUACUUAAGUUUUCUUCUGCAGAUUUUGCAAUUUAGGAAAGAAUUUGUGUAUCACACAGAGAUGGAUGUUUACCAAUACCAUGCCACAGUGAACAAAGUGGAUGAAGCCCAUGUAUCAAAAGUAAUGGAAGUAACAUUUCAUUACAGAUCUUAAUAUAAGCAAGCUUCACACUCCAGUGGUGAGUCCUCAAACAAAUGACUGCAGGAGAUGUAUUUUGAGUCACGAGAACACAGCAGUCUGUGGAGCUUUGCUUGUACUGCCACAAAGAAUGGCUGCAUAAAAACACCUUGAAUUCUUAAAGGCUGCACUAGAAAUGCUUUUCUUCAUAGCCACCUUGCCAGCAUCACUAUGAGCUCUGCUUCUCACCUGCAGCUGCAGUGUGAAUAUGCCUCUCCCCCAGCAGCCCAGGCUGUGGCCAGCCCUGGAGUCUGUCCAGCCAGCCCAGGACGAGCACCCCGAGCUCUCCCAGAGCCUGGGCAGCUCUUCAGAGGGGCUGACAUCAUGGCUUGCAGCUGAAAGGAUCCCUUUGAAACAAGCUGCUUUCUCAGAGCUUUGAACAGCCUAUUUACUCUGCUUCAGCUCAUCUGGAAGAGAUAAUACAAAUAAUCCCACUCUCCCAUGAACUGCUUGAGUUAUUGAAGUCCUGACGUGACCAAAAAAAAUGGACUGUGUAAUUUUAAGUGUUAGGAUUGUACAUAUUAAUAUAUGUGCUUUUUAAUCACAGAAAGAAGUAGGUAGAGAAUUUAGGAGUUGAAAGGAGAUAUCUUUAUUAAUUUUCUUUCUAGGGCAUGUAAUUCCCCAUCAAACAUGCCCAGAUAAUGCCUUGCAGCCAGCAGCACCUGAACACACUGAGCUUUGCUGAGCUUACAUGUAAGGGGAGAACUGGGUAGUUUGUAUCUAGGACAUAAUUGCUUAGCAAUGUUUUAAAUAACAUUUAAACCCUUCCAUGUGAAAACUAGGCUUAAUGUAUUAAAAGCCUCUUUAAACUUAAAAAUUCCAGAGAGACACAAUCUCUUUGAAAUUUAACAAAACAUUGACAAAUAUCUUUCCUCUGAAUACCUUAUAGUGGGUAUGUUAAAUUUCAGACCCUGCACUGCUUUCCUCCCACAGGAGAAAACAUUGGAUUGAAUGAGCUAUGCUAGUAAAUCCCAGGGCAGAAAUCUCCAGGAUCUCAAGGAGUGUGGAUUCAUCAACCCUGCAGCAGGUCUAUCAGAUCCUGUCCUUUGUCCCUGCCUCACUGAAAGCAACACACCAUGAGGAAUCUCUGCUGCCAUCAGUAGUGACAAAAAUGUAUACUGGAUAUGUGUUAGCCUAGAAAAGCAACAUCUGCUACUAGGUUUGCUUGGUAUUAGGAAGAC
This is a long non-coding RNA of Passer domesticus (house sparrow), 10189 nucleotides long. RefSeq lists it as uncharacterized. The record is from RefSeq and is a predicted model, not a curated record. Lineage: Eukaryota; Metazoa; Chordata; Aves; Passeriformes; Passeridae. The transcript is spliced from 4 exons.